AGAAUCAACGCUGGCGGCGUGCCUCAGACAUGCAAGUCGAACGCGAAAGUUCCCUUCGGGGGAUGAGUAGAGUGGCGCACGGGUGAGUAACACGUAGGUAAUCUACCUUUGGAUGGGGAAUAACAACCGGAAACGGUUGCUAAUACCGCAUAAUGCAGCGGCACCUAAUGGUGACAGUUGUUAAAGCGGGGGGAUCGAAAGACCUCGCGUCUGAAGAGGAGCCUGCGGCGGAUUAGCUAGUUGGUAAGGUAACGGCUUACCAAGGCUACGAUCCGUA
This 277-nucleotide ribosomal RNA is filed under the name uncultured soil bacterium. RNAcentral describes it as "partial 16S ribosomal RNA". It matches the Rfam family "Bacterial small subunit ribosomal RNA", at positions 26 to 285 of the family's 1533-position model. The record is from RNAcentral.